This 941-nucleotide ribosomal RNA is filed under the name uncultured bacterium. Its description in RNAcentral is "bacterial SSU rRNA". It matches the Rfam family "Bacterial small subunit ribosomal RNA", at positions 43 to 983 of the family's 1533-position model. The record is from RNAcentral.
CAGCUUACACAUGCAGUCGAGCGGGGAAAGGUAGCUUGCUACCUUACCUAGCGGCGGACGGGUGAGUAAUGCUUAGGAAUCUGCCUAUUAGUGGGGGACAACAUUUCGAAAGGAAUGCUAAUACCGCAUACGCCCUACGGGGGAAAGCAGGGGACCUUCGGGCCUUGCGCUAAUAGAUGAGCCUAAGUCGGAUUAGCUAGUUGGUGGGGUAAAGGCCUACCAAGGCGACGAUCUGUAGCGGGUCUGAGAGGAUGAUCCGCCACACUGGGACUGAGACACGGCCCAGACUCCUACGGGAGGCAGCGGUGGGGAAUAUUGGACAAUGGGGGGAACCCUGAUCCAGCCAUGCCGCGUGUGUGAAGAAGGCCUUUUGGUUGUAAAGCACUUUAAGCGAGGAGGAGGCUCCCAGUAUUAAUACUACUGGAGAGUGGACGUUACUCGCAGAAUGAGCACCGGCUAACUCUGUGCCAGCAGCCGCGGUAAUACAGAGGGUGCAAGCGUUAAUCGGAUUUACUGGGCGUAAAGCGUGCGUAGGUGGCCAAUUAAGUCAAAUGUGAAAUCCCCGAGCUUAACUUGGGAAUUGCAUUCGAUACUGGUUGGCUAGAGUAUGGGAGAGGAUGGUAGAAUUCCAGGUGUAGCGGUGAAAUGCGUAGAGAUCUGGAGGAAUACCGAUGGCGAAGGCAGCCAUCUGGCCUAAUACUGACACUGAGGUACGAAAGCAUGGGGAGCAAACAGGAUUAGAUACCCUGGUAGUCCAUGCCGUAAACGAUGUCUACUAGCCGUUGGGGUCUUUGAGACUUUAGUGGCGCAGCUAACGCGAUAAGUAGACCGCCUGGGGAGUACGGUCGCAAGACUAAAACUCAAAUGAAUUGACGGGGGCCCGCACAAGCGGUGGAGCAUGUGGUUUAAUUCGAUGCAACGCGAGACCUUACCUGGUCUUG